Molecule: ribosomal RNA, 253 nt
Filed under: uncultured bacterium
Lineage: Bacteria
Description: partial 16S ribosomal RNA
Rfam family: Bacterial small subunit ribosomal RNA
Source: RNAcentral
UACGGAGGAUGCAAGCGUUAUCCGGAAUGAUUGGGCGUAAAGCGUCCGCAGGUGGCGAUGUAAGUCUGCUGUUAAAGAGUGAGGCUCAACCUCAUAAGAGCAGUGGAAACUACAUAGCUAGAGUACGUUCGGGGCAGAGGGAAUUCCUGGUGUAGCGGUGAAAUGCGUAGAGAUCAGGAAGGACACCGGUGGCGAAGGCGCUCUGCUAGGCCGUAACUGACACUGAGGGACGAAAGCUAGGGGAGCGAAUGGG